UUAGCUGAAACCAAAAAGAGGUAUGUCACUGUUAAUGGCAAAAUUGAAGAUUUUCCAGCUAAA
Molecule: transfer RNA, 63 nt
Filed under: Neolucanus maximus
Lineage: Eukaryota; Metazoa; Arthropoda; Insecta; Coleoptera; Lucanidae
Description: tRNA-Asn
Source: RNAcentral